GGCAGGCAGAUUUCCAACCAAAUGAACCAAGCCCUCUCUGGGGACUAGGAGACGACUCUCUAUGCAAGGCAUGGCUCCAUAUUUCUUUCAUAACCUGGUGCAGCCCUGAUCUGUCUUUGAACUCUGCUCCUCCUGCUUCCCAGUGUUUGCUGGACAGCCCCCGCCCUGGGCACCUGUUUUCUUCAACACCCUCCAGCAGGUUGGUAAGCUUCUCAGAUGCAGUGAUGGUGGCCAGGAAGGAACGGUGAAUGAAAUAGUCUAGUGAACGGAGGACACAGACGUCUUGGCCACAGUCUCAGCUUCCCUUGGUAAAAAGCUGCCUCCAAAGGCCUUGUGCAUUGGAGCCUAGAGGCCCCGGGAGCCUUCCCCGAGAGCCCAUCCCGGGCCAUCCCCGGAAAGCACCACACAGGGUAAGAGGAAGAGAACAUCCAAACCCUAAGUAGUCCUUCUGAGUGAAUCCCCCUUUUGAUGGUGGGAUGGCACUUCCUCGUCGUCGUCCUUUUGCUUAAUUCCCCUCCCUGCAAAACAGGCCAGGGUUUCCUGUGGAGCCGGUGAGGACAAGGGCAUGCCGCCCCGAGUGAGGGCGCCAGCUGAGUCAACAGGGUCAGGCACUUCAGUGAAAAUUCCUUUUUUGGAAGCCAGGCGGUGGCUUUCCAGGACUGCAGAAUCCUUGGGAAGUGACGCAAGCCCUCAGUCAGGGAGAGGCCCCACGCUCCGCUCCUCCUCGCUCCUCCUCGGAAGGUGCUGGAAAGACUGGGCUGGACGAGCCAGCGAGAUGUGAGCAGUUUGUGGGGCCCUCUCCUUCCUCCUGGAGCAUCUGCGCAGCCCCAGCCCCAACCCGCGGAGGGCAGGGCUUUCGGCAGAGACCUCCUUAUAUAGGAAACGCUCUACUGAGGAGGCUUCUAGGGACUGCACAGGCACUGCCUCUCAGCCUUCUCUGUGGAACUCUCUCCACAGCAGCAGCGUCCUAUUCUAGAAGGCGACAGAAACGGCAGGGGGAAGGGGGGCUAAAAUGGCUAUAUUGUCACAAUGCUAGAGGCAGAGGCUGUGUUUUGAGGAAUGCUGUGUGGCUCUUUUACUCUGGCCUCAUCGGGCCAGGGAAAGCCUCUCUCAGCAGGCAGCUUGGACCAGUGAGUGCCCAGGACGGAGCAAAGCUGACCUCUGGGACUGCAGCAGGGGCUGUGGCCUGCGUGUGAAGGGAGGGAAGGCCGAGCCCCCCCCCCGCCCCCCCCCCCCAGAAGGCCUGGGCAGUGGGUAGGAGCCCCAAGGAUGGUGUGGGGCCCUCUCCGCUGCAGUGACUUUUCACUGUGCCUGAACGGUCAGCCAGGAGAGGAGAGAGGCCUCCGUGCUAACAUUUCCUAAAAGGAAAUUCACAAAUCUGAGUAGGAGUACAUUUGUCUCCCGGAGUCUUAGGAGACAAAUCGUGCUGCCCCUUAUUCUAGUGGAAGCUCCCCCAUUUCCUUUGCGGGGGGGCACACUGUCCUCACCCCAUCUGUGUGGCUGGGGCUGAUCCUUCCCUGUCUGCAGGACCAGGUCCGUGGCCCUGUGUGGCACACCCUCUCCCCAGGAUGCAACCCCAGGACUUCCUGCUGUGGGGCUGGCAUCUCACUUUCAUAUGAGGAGGGCCGGCCUGGAGAUGAUACCAACCCAGAGGAAAGCAGGACCAAGAGAUGGAAAGACAGGGGAGCCUGAGGUCGCUCAGUCGGUUAAGUGUCCCAACCGGCCUCAGGUCAUGAUCCCACAGUUCAUGGGUUCCAGCCCCACAUUGGGCUCUGUGCUGACAGC
Molecule: long non-coding RNA, 1785 nt
Organism: Leopardus geoffroyi (Geoffroy's cat)
Lineage: Eukaryota; Metazoa; Chordata; Mammalia; Carnivora; Felidae
Exons: 3
Source: RefSeq, a predicted model, not a curated record